RNAcentral lists this ribosomal RNA (459 nucleotides) under uncultured bacterium. Its description in RNAcentral is "partial 16S ribosomal RNA". It matches the Rfam family "Bacterial small subunit ribosomal RNA", at positions 338 to 795 of the family's 1533-position model. The record is from RNAcentral.
CCUACGGGUGGCAGCAGUGAGGAAUAUUGGACAAUGGACGCAAGUCUGAACCAGCCAUGCCGCGUGCAGGAAGACGGCUCUAUGAGUUGUAAACUGCUUUUGUACGGGGGUAAAUUCAGAUACGCGUAUCUUUCUGCACGUAUCGUACGAAUAAGGAUCGGCUAACUCCGUGCCAGCAGCCGCGGUAAUACGGAGGAUUCGAGCGUUAUCUGGUUUGAUGGGUUUAAAGGGUGCGUAGGCGGUCGGCUAAGUUAGAGGUGAAAUCCCGGGGCCUAACUUCGGAAUUGCCUCUGAUACUGUUAGGCUAGAGAGUAGUUGCGGUAGGCGGAAUGUAUGGUGUAGCGGUGAAAUGCUUAGAGAUCAUGCAGAACACCGAUGGCGAAGGCAGCUUACCAAGCUACUUCUGACGUUGAGGCACGAAAGCGUGGGGAGCAAACAGGAUUAGAUACCCCUGUAGUC